Molecule: long non-coding RNA, 710 nt
Filed under: Olea europaea subsp. europaea
Lineage: Eukaryota; Viridiplantae; Streptophyta; Magnoliopsida; Lamiales; Oleaceae
Source: RNAcentral
AUCACACUAAAAAUAGAUUUGGUCACACUUGAUUGUCGUCACCACCACCACUACUUUUCCCAACAAUGUCAAAAACUAAAUGCAUAUCACCUCAUCACAACCACAUACACCACCAGCAAUAGAACCAUCGUCGCCUAUACUAUCAUUAACAACCAACACAGGUCUCCGCAAAGUCGUAUGACCAUGUAUGGGGGUUGACAUCUGCCCAGUGCUAAAAGGUCCCCAAAACUUUAGCUAAACAAGGGAUCUGGUAAAAGAUUACCCCUACUUCAUCCUUGCAGCUAGAUCAAAAAAUACUCUUGGUUCAUCCCAAAAAAAAGCCCAAAUCAUUCUUUCCUUCAUCCUUCAGCAUAACAAAAAAUACCAAGAUACACAACAAUCUUCUUAAAAUACCCUUCACCGUUGCACUCAGUGUGCUCAGCCCAAAAUCUGACACCUUUAGAAUUCUAUUCUCAUCUAGCAACAGAUUUUCUGGUCUCAAAUCAUGGUUGUAAACAUAGAUCUAAGGUACCAACGAUUGACAAAUCCAUGAUGUUAAACAUGAAAAUGACACAAUGCUUGGGCAACCACACCGGGUCUCGUAUCACUCACAUCAUUAUCCACACUCCUGCUACCACUUGCCGAGCUACUUUACGACGGAUAUGAAGAUUGCUCAUCAACAAACACCACAUCAAACACAAGGCGACACUGCAGAUUAGUUGACAGCGCUC